This is a non-coding RNA of Notechis scutatus (mainland tiger snake), 97 nucleotides long. NCBI's taxonomy places the organism in Eukaryota, Metazoa, Chordata, Lepidosauria, Squamata, Elapidae. The record is from RefSeq and is a predicted model, not a curated record.
GUGGAGAAUGCUGAACAAAUUGGUGCAUGCAGGGAAUAUGGAGAGAAGCAGAUGGGAAAUAUGAAAAGCGUGCAAUAGCAGUGCACUGACGAUCAAU